This 710-nucleotide long non-coding RNA is filed under the name Pan troglodytes (chimpanzee). Its description in RNAcentral is "long non-coding RNA NONPTRT011043". Lineage: Eukaryota; Metazoa; Chordata; Mammalia; Primates; Hominidae. The record is from RNAcentral.
GAUACAAUGAGGACACAGCCUUGUGUUAUUUGCUGGCCAUCACAAACUCUCUUUGUUGUUUCUACUCCUAGGUAAAAGGUCAUUAAUUAGGAGAAGAUUUAUCUCAAGGAAACGUAUGAUCUGUGGGUAGUGUGGUCAAAGAUGACUUCUGCAGAUAAAAACAUCAUCUUGUAUGCAAGGGCGUGGUGAAAACCUCUGCUAUCAUACUGGAUACAAGGUCUUUAACUUCUCAGCACCAGUUUUAUGGAGCCCCCACCGCUAAGCAAGUGUGCAAAAUGCAGUGCUGCUUCGCAUUGGGAAAUCCCCAAUCUGGUGCCAAGAGGUUCAUAAAUACAGUAAUGGACCCUCUUAUGUCAAAAGUGAGUACUGUUUAACAGCGUAAGUUGGAACAGCCUUCAGGAUGCUUUGCAGCUGCAGUUGUUCCACUGCAAGACAUCAAAAACUUCAUGAUGAUGGUUGUCACACCAGGUCCUAGAAAGGCAACCUACUUCAGUCUGCAAAGUGAACUAAAAGGGAAUGGUUGUUCAUACAUGGCCCUGAUGCCACUGACAUAAGAAACGCAAUGACAAGAGCGAUGAAGUAGGAAUUUGGUGGCAGAUGGUCAGGUCUGCAGGAAGUGUCCACCCAGCUUUGUUUGGCCCAUAUUCUGAAACAACUAGAAUAAACACUUAGUGUCAUAAUUUAUAAGCAUAUCAGUACCAAUAAAUCAG